ACUCCCACAAACCAUCGCGAAUCUUACCCGUACGGUUGCCUCGGCGCUGGCGGUCCGGAAAGGCCCUCGGGUCCUCCCGGAUCCUCGGGUCUCCCGCUCGCGGGAGGCUGCCCGCCGGAGUGCCGAAACUAAACUCUUGAUAUUUUAUGUCUCUCUGAGUAAACUUUUAAAUAAGUCAAAACUUUCAACAACGGAUCUCUUGGUUCUGGCAUCGAUGAAGAACGCAGCGAAAUGCGAUAAGUAAUGUGAAUUGCAGAAUUCAGUGAAUCAUCGAAUCUUUGAACGCACAUUGCGCUCGCCAGUAUUCUGGCGAGCAUGCCUGUUCGAGCGUCAUUUCAACCAUCAAGCUCUGCUUGCGUUGGGGAUCCGCGGCUGCCCGCGGUCCCUCAAAAUCAGUGGCGGGCUCGCUAGUCACACCGAGCGUAGUAACUCUACAUCGCUAUGGUCGUGCGGCGGGUUCUUGCCGUAAAACCCCCCAUUUCUAAGGUUGACCUCGGAUCAGGUAG
RNAcentral lists this ribosomal RNA (506 nucleotides) under Neurospora sp. YS3. Its description in RNAcentral is "eukaryotic LSU rRNA". The stretch from base 180 to 333 matches the Rfam family "5.8S ribosomal RNA". Lineage: Eukaryota; Fungi; Ascomycota; Sordariomycetes; Sordariales; Sordariaceae. The record is from RNAcentral.